Molecule: ribosomal RNA, 330 nt
Filed under: uncultured eukaryote
Lineage: Eukaryota
Description: partial 18S ribosomal RNA
Rfam family: Eukaryotic small subunit ribosomal RNA
Source: RNAcentral
CCCUUAGAUGUUCGGGGCCGCACGCACGCUACACUGAAGGAAUCAGCACGUCUUUCUCCUUGUCCGAAAGGACUGGGUAACCCGCUGAACCUCCUUCGUGCUAGGGAUUGGGGCUUGUAAUUCUUCCCCAUGAACGAGGAAUUCCCAGUAAGCGCGAGUCAUAAGCUCGCGUUGAUUACGUCCCUGCCCUUUGUACACACCGCCCGUCGCUACUACCGAUUGGAUGGUUUAGUGAGAUCCUCGGAUUGGUCCCGGAGCGGCCUCUGGUCGUGCCGGAGUGCCGAAAAGAAUGUCGAACUUGAUCAUCUAGAGGAAGUAAAAGUCGUAACA